RNAcentral lists this ribosomal RNA (216 nucleotides) under uncultured bacterium. RNAcentral describes it as "partial 16S ribosomal RNA". It matches the Rfam family "Bacterial small subunit ribosomal RNA", at positions 1286 to 1500 of the family's 1533-position model. The record is from RNAcentral.
UCUCAGUUCAGAUUUGCAGGCUGCAACUCGCCUGCAUGAAGUCGGAAUUGCUAGUAAUCGCAGAUCAGCAUGCUGCGGUGAAUACGUUCCCGGGCCUUGUACACACCGCCCGUCACACCAUGGGAGUCGGUAACACCCGAAGUCGGUAGCCUAACCGUAAGGAGGGCGCCGCCGAAGGUGGGAUUGAUGACUGGGGUGAAGUCGUAACAAGGUACC